This 73-nucleotide transfer RNA is filed under the name Stegodyphus mimosarum. It matches the Rfam family "tRNA". Rfam says of the family: Transfer RNA (tRNA) molecules are approximately 80 nucleotides in length. Their secondary structure includes four short double-helical elements and three loops (D, anti-codon, and T loops). Lineage: Eukaryota; Metazoa; Arthropoda; Arachnida; Araneae; Eresidae. The record is from Rfam by way of RNAcentral.
GCCUUCGUCAUGUAAUGGUUAGCACGUUCGACGCAUAACCAAGAGGUCCGUGGUUCGACUCCCGGCGAGGGCA